GCGUGUGGAUUUUUUUAGCUGAUAGCAGCAUUUCUUGACUGCGAGUGAUCGCUCUGGGAGCUGGUGCCACACUGCAUGUGGUGCGACCGUGCCUCGCUCGCCGGGUGAACGACCGUGGUGCUGCUCGGAGGCGCGUUGGGAGUGAGCCAAGUUCACCCCGUAUCACUUGGGGUCACCUUGCCGAGCUGGGGUGUGAAGUGAAUUUUAAGACUGGAUUGCACCUAGCUGCAUGGCACCUUUGGGGAGUGGAUCUAGGCAGCCGACUUUCGCUCCAGGUGUAAAGUGAAUUCACCAAAAUGGCAUCAAUACAUCAGAGAAAAAACGAGGAGCUCAGUCGUUGUCACUUGCGGAGAAUUGGAUGCAAACCUACAGUCUCUGGUAUUGCUGAUCUUAUUCACUUUUAUAAGGAUGUUACACUAUUUGGCAGAAACAAAGAUGUUGUGGACUACUUCAUUAGCUCUCCAGGCGAAACAAAAGAUUGCAUAUCCCGACAUCAUGCCAGAGUGAUUCGAACCGCUGGUACUUAUGAGCUUGUGGAUUCCAGCCUGACAGGCGUUUAUGUUAAUGACAUCAAAAUUGGUGGUAAAGUUAUCUUGCGGAAAGGUGAUACUGUUAUAUUUGGGCAUCCCACAGAAAGACAUGUAAAGCCUGGAACGCAAGUUCGUCAGCCAAACUCACAGCUCUGCUUUCUGUUUGAACGCUGUUGCUGCAGGAUUGACCAGCGGCGAAGCGUCCGUGCUGAGAUGAAGAAUUUCAUACCACAGGUUCCAGUACCCCUGUUAACAUCUCCAGAGGUUCCUCAGUUCAGCUCAAACUUGGUAUUUGAGAAAAGUGUCAGUCUUCCUGCUCGACCCCCUUCAGCACGGACACCCCGAGAUAUUCCACACAGUGUUGGAGCGCUGUCUGAGUCUAGUAUGCGCUCUGAAGAAAGAGAGGUUUCCACAGUCACUGUGUCGUUGCCAUUUACUUCUGUGGGAUCAGUAAACUUUUCAGCUAAAUCCUCUGUCUCUACAAAUUUUUCUAAUGUGACUUCAGCCAGAUUUGAAAAGCGAGGAACCUGUAAAUCAGCUGCCAUAUCAGAUGCUAUGCUGAAAGGUUGCGCUACGCUGGAGCCUCUAGUUUUACGCUCUGCUUCACCUGAAUAUGAGGUAAUGAGCAGCGAUUCAGCAGUGACUGCAGAGUCUGUUCAACAGGCAGCCUUUUUGCCUCAGGAAAAUGCCUCAAACAAAGCAAAACGGAUAAAUCCUGACUUGCUACCUGUGGAACAAAGUGAAGGCCAAACAUAUGCAUCAAGAUCCACCCCAGAAUCUUACAAACUAUUCCUGGAAGAAAAAUGGGACAAUGAAGGAGUAGAAAUGGAACCUUAUUCAGCAGCUUCUCCGAAUGAGGAACCUGUGAUAUCCAUGGAUAUUGUGAGGGCAGAUGACUGUCAUCACCUGUGUAGCAGAGAGAUGGUUGAUCUUUCAGCUGACGCGUUAGCUCUUUCAGACUCGUCUCAGCCAGGAUGUCAAGGCCAACACGUUCCGAGGUUGUCAGAACCUGUAGCUGACAAGUCAGUGCUUCGAAGUUGUGAAAGGUCUGACAGUGAAUUAGUAGUGAUGGAGAAUGAUGUUGAUAAAUGCACAGAUGAAAUGGUUGGAAAUGAAACUGCUGAGACUUCAGGACCAGGCACUCAGGUUAUGAGUCUACUUCAGGCUGCAAAACAAGAUACAAAUAAUGUCUCAUUAGUCAGUAGUUACAAGGAGAAGACGACAGAAAAGGAAAGUUCUAUGGAGUACUGCGAAGAGACCUCUGAGGAGCAGCAUAAACCUGAUGCUUGUGCGCAUGAUGCUUCAUGUGAGACUACAUUAUUUACUGAAAUGGAAAUGUAUGAAUAUUAUCCAAAGAGAAAACAUUGUUCUUCUGUUAACAGCUCAUCAGAAUCAGUCACUGACGUAAAAAAUAAUUCAGAAAAUGGUGACCCUGCUAAAAGAAAAAGGACUCCUGAAGGUCAGCAUGCCACUGUAAAACAAAUAGAGAAUCAAAAAAACCUGGUGCAUGCUGGUAUUAAAACUGCAACAGAAGAAGGGGAGCUGCUGUCUGAAACCACUGCGACUCUAAGCAGAGCGCAGGAAGCAAGUGUACAGUUGGAGCCAGAAGUGGCGCUUCUGUGUAGUUCUCUGCACUCUGAGACCAAAAGUGACUUUACGUCAACUCUGGAAGAAAAGAACGUUAUUCCAAAUGGGAUGGAAAAACAGAUUAGUUGUAAAACUGUAGAAAGCGGCACUUCUCCCGUAGCAGACAGAGAGUUGGGCUUAGGAAUGUUAAAUAGUAGCCUAAAUAUAAAAAUGCAGCAGCCUGCAACUGCUUCAGAUCCUUGUGAAUCAGCUGAAUCUAACCACGAUAAAAUCAUUACAGCAGUAAACACAGGUCACGAUGGAGAAACAUGUAAUAAUCAUGUUUUUGAUUUGCAAAAUGCCCUCCAUCAGAACCUCCUGUUUGCAGACACUGAAGGAGUUAAGCCAGUAGAUCAGGACUGUUCUCAUGCACAGACUACUCAGACAAGGUAUGCAGCCAAAGCAGUAUCUCCCUGUGAGAGCAAAAUGGCUCCUGUCAAAUCCACAGUUGAUGAUGAUGGGGCUGUAUUAUUGCCAAGCUGCACUGCUGGACGCAUAGAUACUGGAGCCAGUCAGAUGGUUUUCUCGGAUGGUGAAACUCCGGCUGUGAUCCGUUCAGAAGAUGAAGAAAUAGCAGUGGAUUCUCAUGUGGCAGAAGACAGACUUGUAAAAAGUACCAUAGAUGCUACAGUACCAGAAACCCAUCUUUCUUCACAAUGUAUCAGUGACAGCGUCGUACAUUUGCCUUCUGCAAACCAAGUGUCAUCUGGAGGUGUAGUAUGUGAUUCAGUCUAUAAGCAUGUGUCACGUUUUGGAUAUUUACACCCUGAAAACCCUUCCGGAUGUCCAGUCCUGAAGGAAGGAGAGCCGAAUCACUCAGAAGCACCUGUCAGGUCCGCGAGGGGAGUGAACGCCACAGCUCAGGAGCGGCUGAAAUGCAGAGCAGUUUCUCAAGCGCAUCUUGGUGGAGAGGAAGAAAGUGACGCUUCUGUCAGGACUUCAGUGGGUGAGACUGAGAACCCAGAAGCUCCUGCGCAGCCUGCGUCUGUAAGGAGAGGCAAUGCCUGCGACACGCUGCGUUGCUGCCAGGCAGGUAUUUCUGCGCCCGCUGCUCUAAGCGCCUCCGUUUGCGCCGAGUCUGAAUGUGUUCAGCCUCACCCUGCCCGUUUGAUUUCACCUUUAUCUAAAGAGGAGAUGCCCAGGGAGGCUGGCGAUGAUUUUAGUAAAACAAAGCAAGGGAGUGCUUCUCAAGGAGAAAUGGAAGAAGCAGAUGUGAAAACGAAUGUCAUUAUUUUGACAUGGGAUGGUGAGGGGAUAUCUGAAGAUAAAGAUGACAGCGAGGCCAGGAUGGAAGUGGAUACAUCUCCUGUUAGGGAUAACACUGAAGUAUGUCAUGCAGAAGUGGGAACGGAAACUAGAUUCGUAAAGAAGAGAAAAACCAAUUCAUUAUCUACAAAACUUUUAGAAGAUGGGAACAAAGAUAGAUCAACAAAGCAUAAUCGUUAUGAGGAAGAUGAAAGUAAUGUGCCUAUGGACACAAAUGUGCCUUCAAGUGGAAUUGUUGAAGUACAUGUUGAAACCAUUCGUGAUGGUGCAAAUGACAGUCCCUUGAAAGAGUUCUCUGAAGAGAUGGAGAUGGGCCCUACAGGCUCUGCACAAGCAGCAAAGUCAGAGCUGUUUUCAGGGUUGGAAACAUGUGAGAGUGAGACAGUCUCUGUAGGCUUGUGCUCUCCUAUUAGAGGAAUAUUUUUUGAAAACCCAGGAGAGAAAUUGCUGGAAGUUACUAAUUCUGAAUCAUCUCUGAAUUUAGGUAGAGAAAUUCCUAAUGAUCUUCAGCCGCAGGGUAAUGGCUACCUAGAGGAAAAGGAGUCUUUAGGAGAAGAUUGGUCACUUUUAUCUCCUUCUGAAAAAGAAAACGUGGACGCCAACCAAAGUCUGAAAGCAUUUGAAAUCUCUGUGAUCUGUUCUGUGGAUUCCACGUUUGAUAACGGCAGCGAUCAAAGGUUGAACGCUGCUGAUGGCAAGGUACAGACGACUGCUUGCUCAUCAGAGGAUGCUGUGCUAUCAGAAGAACACGAUGAUCUCUCAGGCAGUAUUGAGGGGAAAGCUUGCCAAGAGACAAAAGAAGAUAGUGUUGAAAGCAAAAGUACUACAGGAAUAGUGGGAGAGAGAAGGGUUUCAAGACCAUCUAUAAACGAUAGCAUGUUGGAGGAACAGAAAGACCAAGAAAACGAUUGGGGAAACGCAGGUGUUCGGCAGACAUGUUGUAAUUUUGGCAGUACUACAGCUGCACUUGCAAAGAGGCUGGAGCAGAGUACCGAUUGCUGCUCCUCUGACUUGGUUUCCUUUUCCUCCAGCCUUGUGCCCGUAGGCUCACCCAAACGCGCAUGGUGUGAGGGUAACUGUUGUUCCUGUUUGCGCACAGAGCCCUCUUGCCCUGUGGAUGAAAGGGGAGUAGGAAGCGGUCUGCAGUAUGCACGUGCCUGCUCCUUGGUCCAGCUCUGCCCUAAGAAUGAAGAAGGAAAUGGUGGUGAAGAAGGGGCGGAACCGGCACACGAUGAACAGUGUGAUAAAUCAGUAGUGGAAAA
This 4684-nucleotide long non-coding RNA is filed under the name Struthio camelus australis. Its description in RNAcentral is "lncRNA (ENSSCUG00000008610.1)". The record is from RNAcentral. Lineage: Eukaryota; Metazoa; Chordata; Aves; Struthioniformes; Struthionidae.